AUCGAACGCUGGCGGCGUGGCUAAGGCAUGCAAGUCGAGCGGACUCUGCCAAGGGGUAACCCGAGGCUUAGUUAGCGGCGAACGGGUGAGGAAUACGUGGAUAACGUGCCCUGGACACGGGGAUAGCGGCGGGGGCAACCCCUUUGCGAAAGCGCCGGUAAUACCCGAUGACCCCGCGGGAUCACAUGGUCCUGCGGGCAAAGGCUCAGGCGGUCUGGGAUCGGUUCACGUCCUAUCAGCUAGUUGGUAGGGUAACGGCCUACCAAGGCAACGACGGGUAGCGGGCGUGAGGAGCGUGACCCGCCACAUCGGGACUGAGACACGGCCCGGACACCUACGGGUGCUGCAGCAACGAAUAUUCCGCAAUGGACGCAAGUCUGACGGANCGACGCCGCGUGCAGGAUGAAGUCC
RNAcentral lists this ribosomal RNA (411 nucleotides) under uncultured bacterium. Its description in RNAcentral is "bacterial SSU rRNA". It matches the Rfam family "Bacterial small subunit ribosomal RNA", at positions 28 to 416 of the family's 1533-position model. The record is from RNAcentral.